Molecule: long non-coding RNA, 1287 nt
Organism: Anser brachyrhynchus (Pink-footed goose)
Lineage: Eukaryota; Metazoa; Chordata; Aves; Anseriformes; Anatidae
Source: Ensembl
AUGCAGCCAUCGAUGGCCAGAAGGACAUCCUCUUGCAGAAUCGCUGACUGGUUGAGGUUGGCGGGGACCUCUGGAGGCCGUCUGGUUCAAUCCCUGCUCAGACAAGGCCACCCACAGCAGGGUGCCCAGGACCAUGUCCAGGCAGCUUUUGAAGAUGUCCUCCGGCACCCACAUAAAAAGAAAAUGGCUCCAGCCUCUCCGCACCUCCCCGCGGGUCCUGACGGCCAUGGGGGAGCUCCCCCGGAGCCUCCUCUGCUCCAGGCCGAGCAGCCCCAGCUCUCGCAGCCUCUCCUCACAGCACGGGGGCUCCGGGCCCGGCAGCACCCUGGGGGCCCCGGGCUGGGCUCUCCCCGCUGGGCCCAGGUCUCUCUGUGCUGGGGGACCCAGGACUGGUCCCAGCACUCCGGGUGCAGCCUCGUCAGUGCUGAGCAGAGGGGCAGGAUCCCCUCCCUUGAUCUGCAGGCAAUGCUUUGCCUAAUGCAGUCCUUUUUUUGCCCAAGGGUCCAUCACUGGCUCACAUUCACCUCAGUGCCCCCCAGAACCCCAGGUCUGUUUCUGCAGAGCCGCUUUCCAGCUGGGUGCCCCCAGCCUGUCCUGGUGCUGGGCCUGUUCCUCCCCAGGGGCAGGACUUUGGGCUUCUCCUCGUCGAGCUGCAGGUUUGUGUCAGCCCCCCUCUCCUGCCUGCCCAGGUCCCUCGGGAUGCCAGCACGACCCUCCGGCAUAUCCACCGCUCCCCCCAGCUGUGUGUCAUCUGCAGCCUUGCUGCGGGAGCGCUGUGCCCCAUCAUCCAGGCUAUUAAUAAAGGUGUUAAACAGACCUGCACCACCAGCAGCAUCCAUGCAGCAACAGGCUCCCAUUUUCCCUAGCCUUCCUUUUGUCACUGUUGCACUUACAGAAGCCCAUCCCAUAGCCUCUGACAUCCCUGUCCGGAUUCAAUUCCACCUGGGCUUUGGCUUUCCUAACUUCAUCCCUGGGUGCUCAAUCAUAUUCCCGUGUUCAUCGCAGGAAUACAGGAACCUGUCCCUGCUUUCACCCUCCGUGUGCUUCCCUUUCGUGUCAGAGCUUUGCGUUGAGGUUUUGGGGUUUUCUCCACACUACUGCACUUCCUCGCUUCUAUGCAAAUGCUGCGGGUGCCCCCGCUUAAACUUUGUUUUGUUGAUUUUAAUAUCCGUUUCUGGCAUAGGUCUCCAAGCUAUUUGCUUAUCAACCCCGUGCAUCGCUCCCUUGCAGGGGCUGGUAACUCUCCCUCACCUGUUAUUCCUAGUCCCAAGCCCUCCUUACCAGUAG